AGAGUUUGAUCCUGGCUCAGAACGAACGCUGGCGGCAGGCUUAAUACAUGCAAGUCGAACGGGCGUAGCAAUACGUCAGUGGCAGACGGGUGAGUAACGCGUGGGAACGUACCCCUCGGUUCGGAAUAACUCAGGGAAACUUGAGCUAAUACCGGAUACGGCUUAGCGGCGAAAGAUUUAUCGCCGAGGGAUCGGCCCGCGUCCGAUUAGCUAGUUGGUGAGGUAACGGCUCACCAAGGCGACGAUCGGUAGCUGGUCUGAGAGGAUGAUCAGCCACAUUGGGACUGAGACACGGCCCAAACUCCUACGGGAGGCAGCAGUAGGGAAUAUUGGACAAUGGGCGAAAGCCUGAUCCAGCCAUGCCGCGUGAGUGAUGAAGGCCUUAGGGUUGUAAAGCUCUUUCGUCAGGGACGAUAAUGACGGUACCUGAAGAAGAAGCCCCGGCUAACUUCGUGCCAGCAGCCGCGGUAAUACGAAGGGGGCUAGCGUUGUUCGGAAUCACUGGGCGUAAAGCGCAUGUAGGCGGGUCUUUAAGUCAGGGGUGAAAUGCCAAGGCUCAACCUUGGAACUGCCUUUGAUACUGGAGACCUUGAGUCCGGGAGAGGUGAGUGGAACUGCGAGUGUAGAGGUGAAAUUCGUAGAUAUUCGCAAGAACACCAGUGGCGAAGGCGGCUCACUGGCCCGGUACUGACGCUGAGAUGCGAAAGCGUGGGGAGAAACAGGAUUAGAUACCCUAGUAGUCC
This 743-nucleotide ribosomal RNA is filed under the name uncultured bacterium. RNAcentral's name for it is "bacterial SSU rRNA". It matches the Rfam family "Bacterial small subunit ribosomal RNA", at positions 8 to 796 of the family's 1533-position model. The record is from RNAcentral.